Non-coding RNA from Epinephelus lanceolatus (giant grouper), 323 nucleotides. The record is from RefSeq and is a predicted model, not a curated record. Lineage: Eukaryota; Metazoa; Chordata; Actinopteri; Perciformes; Serranidae.
CAGGAAGACUCCCUUCACUCGCCUAUGGACAUUUCCUCCUACGCACCUGUCUACAGGAAAUUGAAGAACGCUGUUGAGAGUUGCUGGGGCAUCACCGAACUCUAUUCCCCUCCUGCUAAGGCAGCUGUUUAGAGGCUCUCAUCAAUAAGGGAGGACUGUAAGGAAACCAGCAUGAAGAGCACGGCGGCCUCCCUCCCCUCCCGAUCCCACAAUAACACCCAUCAGCCAAUCUAAGCCAUCCAAUGACAAUGGAGGAGGGCCAGGACAAAUACCACAAAAACCAACAGUCAACAACAGCAACUGAGGAGAAAUGAAUACUGUAC